This 403-nucleotide ribosomal RNA is filed under the name Fusobacteriota bacterium. Its description in RNAcentral is "Fusobacteria bacterium partial 16S ribosomal RNA". It matches the Rfam family "Bacterial small subunit ribosomal RNA", at positions 355 to 776 of the family's 1533-position model. Lineage: Bacteria; Fusobacteriati; Fusobacteriota. The record is from RNAcentral.
UGGGGAAUUUUGCACAAUGGAGGGAACUCUGAUGCAGCGACGCCGCGUGAGUGAUGAAGGAAUUCGUUUCGUAAAACUCUGUUCUAUGGGAAGAAAAGGACUGUACCAUAGGAGAAAGCUCCGGCUAAAUACGUGCCAGCAGCCGCGGUAAUACGUAUGGAGCGAGCGUUGUCCGGAAUUAUUGGGCGUAAAGGGUGCGCAGGCGGAAAUGCAAGUCAGGUGUAAAAGGCAGUAGCUUAACUACUGUAAGCAUUUGAAACUGCAUAUCUUGAGAAGAGUAGAGGUAAGUGGAAUUUUUAGUGUAGCGGUGAAAUGCGUAGAUAUUAAAAAGAAUACCGGUGGCGAAGGCGACUUACUGGGCUCAUUCUGACGCUGAGGAACGAAAGCGUGGGUAGCAAACAGG